GAUCUUGCAGCCGCGAAAACUCCGUCCUAUAUUCAACCUGUUCGGGCUUGCUCGGACUAUGGGCAUAAACGCGCAUGUAAUAAGCGGAUCGGACCCGGGGGCGGUACCCGGCGACUCCACCAAAACUCCCUCGUUGGGGGCAAAUGGGGUCGAAACAGGAUCGACGAACGUCUAAAGAUGUAAGCUUUGUCUCGGUGAGCUACCACCGUCAUCGGUGCAAAUUGUACAGUUGCCAACGACAACCGUGCUCCGGUCGCUCUGGCUGCGUAAGCAGUUCGAGAGAUCGAAACUUAAGUCCUUGCGCUUAGCCGCGUAAGGCGGGGCCCGCAGGAGCCUGGCAACAGAAUCCUGCACC
This 355-nucleotide transfer-messenger RNA is filed under the name Paracoccus aminophilus JCM 7686. RNAcentral's name for it is "Alphaproteobacteria transfer-messenger RNA". It matches the Rfam family "Alphaproteobacteria transfer-messenger RNA". Rfam says of the family: Bacterial tmRNA, also known as 10Sa RNA or SsrA, is named for its dual tRNA and mRNA-like properties. Its role is to liberate the mRNA from a stalled ribosome. The record is from Rfam by way of RNAcentral. Lineage: Bacteria; Pseudomonadati; Pseudomonadota; Alphaproteobacteria; Rhodobacterales; Paracoccaceae.